GAGGGGAAAACCGAAAACCCUAAAAAGAGUAGGUA
Pedobacter cryoconitis is the source of this 35-nucleotide regulatory RNA element. It matches the Rfam family "DUF805b RNA". Rfam says of the family: Bacteroidetes, Chlorobi (1 example), Proteobacteria. Lineage (Flavobacteria) NCBI's taxonomy places the organism in Bacteria, Pseudomonadati, Bacteroidota, Sphingobacteriia, Sphingobacteriales, Sphingobacteriaceae. The record is from Rfam.